UGGGGAAUCUUGCACAAUGGGCGCAAGCCUGAUGCAGCAACGCCGCGUGCGGGAAGACGGCCCUAGGGUUGUAAACCGCUUUCAGGAGGGAAGAAAAUGACGGUACCUCCAGAAGAAGGUGCGGCCAACUACGUGCCAGCAGCCGCGUGACACGUAGGCACCAAGCGUUAUCCGGAUUUAUUGGGCGUAAAGAGCUCGUAGGCGGUUCGGUAAGUCGGGUGUGAAAACUCUGGGCUCAACCCAGAGAGGCCACUCGAUACUGCUGUGACUAGAGUGCGGUAGGGGAGCGGGGAAUUCCUGGUGUAGCGGUGAAAUGCGCAGAUAUCAGGAGGAACACCGGUGGCGAAGGCGGGUCUCUGGGCCGGAACUGACGCUGAGGAGCGAAAGCGUGGGGAGCGAACAGGAUU
Molecule: ribosomal RNA, 407 nt
Filed under: uncultured bacterium
Lineage: Bacteria
Description: bacterial SSU rRNA
Rfam family: Bacterial small subunit ribosomal RNA
Source: RNAcentral